Molecule: ribosomal RNA, 319 nt
Filed under: Urena procumbens
Lineage: Eukaryota; Viridiplantae; Streptophyta; Magnoliopsida; Malvales; Malvaceae
Description: eukaryotic LSU rRNA
Source: RNAcentral
CAAGUUGCGCCCCAAGCCAUUAGGCCGAGGGCACGUCUGCCUGGGUGUCACGCAUCGUUGCCCCCACCCAUCCCCUGCCCGCCGGGCAUCGGUUGGGGUGUGGGCGGAAAAUGGCCUCCCGUGCGCCCGCCGCCCGCGGUUGGCCUAAAAUCGAGUCAUCGGCGACCACGGUGCCGCGACGAUCGGUGGUGAAGCUUUCGAGCUGCCUCGUCCUCAGUCGUGCGCUACCGUCGAUCCGUGCUCCCCGACCCCUUCCGGCACCGCAAGCACGGUGCUCGCAUCGCGACCCCAGGUCAGGCGGGAUUACCCGCUGAGUUUA